UCGACGCAUCCUUCGGGGUGAGUGGCAGACGGGUGAGUAACGCGUGGGAACGUGCCCUUCAGUUCGGGAUAACCCAGGGAAACUUGGGCUAAUACCGGAUACGUGCGAGAGCAGAAAGAUUGAUCGCUGAAGGAUCGGCCCGCGUCUGAUUAGCUAGUUGGUGGGGUAAUGGCCCACCAAGGCGACGAUCAGUAGCUGGUCUGAGAGGAUGAUCAGCCACAUUGGGACUGAGACACGGCCCAAACUCCUACGGGAGGCAGCAGUGGGGAAUAUUGGACAAUGGGCGCAAGCCUGAUCCAGCCAUGCCGCGUGAGUGAUGAAGGCCUUAGGGUUGUAAAGCUCUUUCGUCCGGGACGAUAAUGACGGUACCGGAAGAAGAAGCCCCGGCUAACUUCGUGCCAGCAGCCGCGGUAAUACGAAGGGGGCUAGCGUUGUUCGGAAUCACUGGGCGUAAAGGGCGCGUAGGCGGCUUUAUAAGUCGGGGGUGAAAGCCUGUGGCUCAACCACAGAAUUGCCUUCGAUACUGUAGAGCUUGAGACCGGAAGAGGUAAGUGGAACUGC
RNAcentral lists this ribosomal RNA (561 nucleotides) under uncultured bacterium. Its description in RNAcentral is "bacterial SSU rRNA". It matches the Rfam family "Bacterial small subunit ribosomal RNA", at positions 62 to 670 of the family's 1533-position model. The record is from RNAcentral.